RNAcentral lists this ribosomal RNA (442 nucleotides) under uncultured bacterium. Its description in RNAcentral is "partial 16S ribosomal RNA". It matches the Rfam family "Bacterial small subunit ribosomal RNA", at positions 339 to 795 of the family's 1533-position model. The record is from RNAcentral.
CUACGGGUGGCUGCAGUGGGGAAUAUUGGGCAAUGGGCGCAAGCCUGACCCAGCAACGCCGCGUGAGGGAAGAAUGUCUUCGGAUUGUAAACCUCUGUCCUUGGGGACGAAAAAAAUGACGGUACCCAAGGAGGAAGCUCCGGCUAACUACGUGCCAGCAGCCGCGGUAAUACGUAGGGAGCGAGCGUUGUCCGGAAUUACUGGGCGUAAAGGGUGCGUAGGCGGCUAGGCAAGUCAGAUGUGAAAUACCCAGGCUUAACUUGGGGGGUGCAUUUGAAACUGCUUGGCUUGAGUGCAGGAGAGGAAAGCGGAAUUCCUAGUGUAGCGGUGAAAUGCGUAGAUAUUAGGAGGAACACCAGUGGCGAAGGCGGCUUUCUGGACUGCAACUGACGCUGAGGCACGAAAGCGUGGGGAGCAAACAGGAUUAGAUACCCCAGUAGUC